This 301-nucleotide ribosomal RNA is filed under the name uncultured bacterium. RNAcentral's name for it is "partial 16S ribosomal RNA". It matches the Rfam family "Bacterial small subunit ribosomal RNA", at positions 509 to 807 of the family's 1533-position model. The record is from RNAcentral.
CAGCCGCCGCGGGAAUACAGAGGGUGCGAGCGUUAAUCGGAUUUACUGGGCGUAAAGCGUGCUUAGGCGGCUUUUUAAGUCGGAUGUGAAAUCCCUGAGCUUAACUUAGGAAUUGCAUUCGAUACUGGGAAGCUAGAGUAUGGGAGAGGAUGGUAGAAUUCCAGGUGUAGCGGUGAAAUGCGUAGAGAUCUGGAGGAAUACCGAUGGCGAAGGCAGCCAUCUGGCCUAAUACUGACGCUGAGGUACGAAAGCAUGGGGAGCAAACAGGAUUAGAUACCCCUGUAGUCCCUGUCUCUUAUAC